GCUAGCAGUAUUUUCCUAAACACACUGAUGGUUAGGGCCACCCCAGUAGAAUUUUUGCAGUUACAUUAUUUUACAGAGUCCAUUGCUAACGAAUAUGGAACUGACACUCUGUGUGUGACUUACUUUUAAGAACCUUCCUUUUGCCUGUUCUGAAUUAUUUUUUCAAAAGAAAACAUCUUUUUUAUUUGGAAGAAAACUUCAUAUGUCUAUUUAUCGAGGCAUCUGCCCAUACAGGUGUGAUUGAUAAAGCACGAGAGAUCCCUACUCCAGCCAGGGUCUUUUUUUGCAGGGUAGCAGUACCCUAGGAGACCACCAGAGGGACUAUCCUGAUGGCUUGAAAGCCAGGAAGAAGCUGCAGAAGGACUCCGACUAGGAUGGAUUUUCUGAUCAAGAACAGGUGGGGACCAAAAGAAAACCUGGGUGUGGCAGAACAUGCCAGAGCUGCGCUAUGAGGACUGUGGUUUGGCACUCUCGUGGACUACAUGCAUUCUGUGUGGGACAAACUGUGAGGCUUCCAAGGACUAUGUGUGUUAUGCGGAAUAAUAAACUAGCCCUGGGAAGGGGUAAUAGUGGACACAA
Caretta caretta (loggerhead turtle) is the source of this 579-nucleotide non-coding RNA. The record is from RefSeq and is a predicted model, not a curated record. NCBI's taxonomy places the organism in Eukaryota, Metazoa, Chordata, Testudines, Cheloniidae.